This 271-nucleotide ribosomal RNA is filed under the name uncultured prokaryote. RNAcentral describes it as "partial 16S ribosomal RNA". It matches the Rfam family "Bacterial small subunit ribosomal RNA", at positions 524 to 794 of the family's 1533-position model. The record is from RNAcentral.
UACGGAGGAUCCGAGCGUUAUCCGGAUUUAUUGGGUUUAAAGGGUGCGCAGGCGGGAGAUUAAGUCGGCGGUGAAAUUUUGCAGCUCAACUGUAAAAGUGCCUUCGAUACUGGUUUCCUUGAGUGUGGAUGAAGUAGGCGGAAUUUGUGGUGUAGCGGUGAAAUGCUUAGAUAUCACGAGGAACUCCGAUUGCGCAGGCAGCUUACUAAACCACUACUGACGCUCAGGCACGAAGGCGUGGGGAUCAAACAGGAUUAGAUACCCCGGUAGU